This 253-nucleotide ribosomal RNA is filed under the name uncultured bacterium. RNAcentral describes it as "partial 16S ribosomal RNA". It matches the Rfam family "Bacterial small subunit ribosomal RNA", at positions 524 to 776 of the family's 1533-position model. The record is from RNAcentral.
UACGUAGGGUGCGAGCGUUAAUCGGAAUUACUGGGCGUAAAGCGUGCGCAGGCGGUUUUGUAAGCCAGAUGUGAAAUCCCCGGGCUUAACCUGGGAACUGCAUUUGUGACUGCAAGGCUGGAGUGCGGCAGAGGGGGAUGGAAUUCCGCGUGUAGCAGUGAAAUGCGUAGAUAUGCGGAGGAACACCGAUGGCGAAGGCAAUCCCCUGGGCCUGCACUGACGCUCAUGCACGAAAGCGUGGGGAGCAAACAGG